This 495-nucleotide ribosomal RNA is filed under the name uncultured Entrophospora. RNAcentral describes it as "SSU rRNA". It matches the Rfam family "Eukaryotic small subunit ribosomal RNA", at positions 569 to 1062 of the family's 1831-position model. The record is from RNAcentral. Lineage: Eukaryota; Fungi; Glomeromycota; Glomeromycetes; Entrophosporales; Entrophosporaceae.
AGCAGCCGCGGUAAUUCCAGCUCCAAUAGCGUAUAUUAAAGUUGUUGCAGUUAAAAAGCUCGUAGUUGAAUUUCGGGAUUGACACAUCGGUCGUGCCUUAAGGGGUAUGAACUGGUGUAGUCAAUUUCUCACCUUCUGGAGAACCGCGAUGCCCUUAAUUGGGUGUCGCGGGGAACCAGGACCUUUACUUUGAAAAAAUUAGAGUGUUUAAAGCAGGCAUUUUGCUUGAAUACAUUAGCAUGGAAUAAUAAAAUAGGACGGCAUGAUUCUAUUUUGUUGGUUUCUAGGAUCACCGUAAUGAUUAAUAGGGAUAGUUGGGGGCAUUAGUAUUCAAUUGUCAGAGGUGAAAUUCUUGGAUUUAUUGAAGACUAACUACUGCGAAAGCAUUUGCCAAGGAUGUUUUCAUUAAUCAAGAACGAAAGUUAGGGGAUCGAAGACGAUCAGAUACCGUCGUAGUCUUAACCAUAAACUAUGCCGACUAGGAAUCAGACGAUG